GACAGAAGGGAGCUUGCUCCCGGAUGUUAGCGGCGGACGGGUGAGUAACACGUGGGUAACCUGCCUGUAAGACUGGGAUAACUCCGGGAAACCGGAGCUAAUACCGGAUAGUUCCUUGAACCGCAUGGUUCAAGGAUGAAAGACGGUUUCGGCUGUCACUUACAGAUGGACCCGCGGCGCAUUAGCUAGUUGGUGAGGUAACGGCUCACCAAGGCGACGAUGCGUAGCCGACCUGAGAGGGUGAUCGGCCACACUGGGACUGAGACACGGCCCAGACUCCUACGGGAGGCAGCAGUAGGGAAUCUUCCGCAAUGGACGAAAGUCUGACGGAGCAACGCCGCGUGAGUGAUGAAGGUUUUCGGAUCGUAAAGCUCUGUUGUUAGGGAAGAACAAGUGCAAGAGUAACUGCUUGCACCUUGACGGUACCUAACCAGAAAGCCACGGCUAACUACGUGCCAGCAGCCGCGGUAAUACGUAGGUGGCAAGCGUUGUCCGGAAUUAUUGGGCGUAAAGGGCUCGCAGGCGGUUUCUUAAGUCUGAUGUGAAAGCCCCCGGCUCAACCGGGGAGGGUCAUUGGAAACUGGGAAACUUGAGUGCAG
This 599-nucleotide ribosomal RNA is filed under the name Bacillus sp. Y618. RNAcentral describes it as "bacterial SSU rRNA". It matches the Rfam family "Bacterial small subunit ribosomal RNA", at positions 68 to 651 of the family's 1533-position model. Lineage: Bacteria; Bacillati; Bacillota; Bacilli; Caryophanales; Bacillaceae. The record is from RNAcentral.